RNAcentral lists this ribosomal RNA (413 nucleotides) under uncultured Candidatus Saccharibacteria bacterium. RNAcentral describes it as "bacterial SSU rRNA". It matches the Rfam family "Bacterial small subunit ribosomal RNA", at positions 958 to 1385 of the family's 1533-position model. The record is from RNAcentral. Lineage: Bacteria; Candidatus Saccharimonadota.
AACGCGAAGAACCUUACCCAGGCUUGACAUCCUGUGAAUUUCUCCGAAAGGAGAGAGUGCUUUAUUGAACGCAGUGACAGGUGGUGCAUGGCCGUCGUCAGCUCGUGUCGUGAGAUGUUUGGUUAAGUCCAUCAACGAGCGCAACCCUUAUGUUUAGUUGAAUUUCUCUAAACAGACUGCCCUGGUAACAGGGAGGAAGGAGGGGAUGAUGUCAGGUCCGUAUCUCCCUUACGCCUGGGGCUACAGACACGCUACAAUGGCCGGUACAAAGGGCAGCCAAGUCGCGAGACGGAGCUAAUCCCAUCAAAACCGGUCCCAGUUCGGAUAGUAGGCUGAAACUCGCCUGCUUGAAGCCGGAAUCGCUAGUAACGGUAAGUCAGCAUAUUACCGUGAAUACGUUCCCGGGCCUUGUA